RNAcentral lists this ribosomal RNA (254 nucleotides) under uncultured bacterium. RNAcentral describes it as "partial 16S ribosomal RNA". It matches the Rfam family "Bacterial small subunit ribosomal RNA", at positions 524 to 776 of the family's 1533-position model. The record is from RNAcentral.
UACGGGGGGGGGCAAGCGUUGUUCGGAAUUACUGGGCGUAAAGGGCUCGUAGGCGGCCAACUAAGUCAGACGUGAAAUCCCUCGGCUUAACCGGGGAACUGCGUCUGAUACUGGAUGGCUUGAGUUUGGGAGAGGGAUGCGGAAUUCCAGGUGUAGCGGUGAAAUGCGUAGAUAUCAGGAGGAACACCGGUGGCGAAGGCGGAUCUCUGGGCCUUGCCUGACGCUGAGGCGCGAAAGCUAGGGGAGCGAACAGG